This is a long non-coding RNA of Acyrthosiphon pisum (pea aphid), 347 nucleotides long. RefSeq lists it as uncharacterized. The transcript has 3 exons. The record is from RefSeq and is a predicted model, not a curated record. Lineage: Eukaryota; Metazoa; Arthropoda; Insecta; Hemiptera; Aphididae.
AAUGUGGACUGUGGUACAUUUCACUUAUUAAAAUGCGGUUGAAGCGAUUCCUAGACAUUGGGUGAAAAAAGAUGUUUAUGGUUGGCCAAAAAACCCAUUAAAUCUAGAACGCUCCUUAAUAAAUAUAAUUUUGAUUAUUUUCCUUCAAGAACAUUAAAAGAGGCAUUGAUUUUACUGAUGAUUUUUGUGGCUUAAGAAAUAGCUAGAAUGAUAUUCCUGAAACUCUUCUAAUACUUAUGAAACAUUGCAAAUGUCUACUGUUGUACGUACAACUUCAUCACCAUUUAAAUUACUCCGUUAGAAUUUAACCAAUAUAAUGAAAUCACUGAAGAAAACAAUCCUAUAAA